Odocoileus virginianus texanus is the source of this 2692-nucleotide RNA transcript. It is a transcript of the gene named golgi associated RAB2 interactor family member 2, with no coding region annotated. NCBI's taxonomy places the organism in Eukaryota, Metazoa, Chordata, Mammalia, Artiodactyla, Cervidae. The record is from RefSeq and is a predicted model, not a curated record.
CAAUGCCCAGAGCAGCCUGGCCUCCUGUGUUCUUUUACUAAGUGGUUAGUUGCCUGUCCAGUAGACUGAAAGCACCUUCUGCCAAGGAAAUGUGAGAAGAGUUGAAAACGUGCUAUUUGGAGACUAUUCUCCUAGUAGACAUCCAGGAGAUCUCCAGAGAUCUAGUUCAUCCUCACUUCUCCACAACUUCAUCAUGAAAAAGAGGAAGCCCAAAGUGAAGUGAGUUAAAACUUUACCUCCAAGAGGAUUGUGGCUUGGCCCUGAGUUGAGGUUUAUACAUAAACACAAUGAAGAAGAUUAACAGGAAAUCUCCCACAAAGAUCGACAAGCAAGAUGACAUCUGUGUCCCAGACUCCAAGGAUCCAGGAGAGCUUCAAAAUAUGUUGAAUGGAGGAGAAUACGCCCCUUUUGUAUCUCCUCCCAUAUUAGAGAGCAAUUUUAUCCAGGUCAACAGAAGAGGUGAAUCCAUUUACCUUCAUAACCGAGCCAACUGGGUGACCGCGGGCAUCUGCGCUUCCAACCCCACCAUCAAGACCCCUAACGUGAUGCUGCUGGCUCACAUGACACCCGCCACCCAGAAAGAUUCAGAACCCCUGUUUAAGAGUCUCCUGACAUCUCCUCCUCCAGAAAAUCUGGUGCUUACCCGGUUUCUCCCUCUGCAGUUUGUGACUCUCUCUGUACAUGAUGCCGAGAAUAUGCGCAUCAAAGUUAAGCUGGUGAGUGGCCGAGCCUACUACCUACAGCUCUGCGCCCCUGCAGGCAAACAAGACUCCCUGUUCCAUCAAUGGGUAGAGCUCAUCUCCCUCUUGAAUGAGGAGAAAGCCAAAGCUUCCAAAGUGUCGGAAGUCUCCAGCCUCUCGGAAAUCACAAACAGCACAGACAUCACAGGCUCAGUGGACAUCAUGGAUAUAGCAGCCUGCCCUGCCAUACAGACCUCACACCUGUCCACGUGUUCAGACCCCAACAACGAUGUAGAAAGCAUUGAUUUCUCGGAAUUCACAGACAUCACUGAUGUUACCGACGUCACGGAUAUUCCAGAAAAUGAGGUUACCGAGGCCCCAGAUAUAAAUAUUGUUACAGAAGUCACGGAAGUCACAGACAUCUGUGAAGUCACAGCAAGCUCAGGGGUCAGAGUGGUGUUUGAAAAUGAUGACAUACUCAGGGCCAAGCAAGAGGAAAAGGAAAAAAUGGAAAACAUUCUGAAGUCUGGCUGUUUACGAGAUACAAAAAGCAAGAAUGAGUUUAAAGAAUCCUCAAAACAUGUCACCAUCUCAAACCUAACACUGACUUUCGAAGGUGAAAGAUGUUUUCAAACUACCUUGAUUCCAGAAGAAGAUGAGACAGACAAAUCCGAAGAGUUGAGUGACAGACCCCCCGAAAUAAAGACAAUGGACUCUGAAAGCACACUUCUCAAGGCUGAAGAACCCAGGAGCGGGAGAACUGAUUCAGACAUUUCAGGCUUGUACAGUUUUUCAAUUUUCCCUCUGAUUAGCAUUUCUUUCCCCCUUGCCACACUCCUCUAAAUCACUUUUUUCCCCUUUCACACUCCCUUACUCACACUUAACACUCUUCACCCCAAGGAAGCAAAGAUUAGUAACCUUGUCCUAUUGAAUUUAGACUGAAUGUAGACUGAAAAUAACUUUGUAAAUCUGAUUUCUAUUUUAGGCAGAAGCCAGAAUAAUAACUGUUCCCACAGAAGUAAAUCAAAUCACUGUUUCUAUUAACUUCAUCAGAUUCACAUUCAACAACUCUUGGGCAAGGCUAGUUGGGGACAGCAGUCUCCAAUUCUCUCUAACCUCUGAGCAGUUUGGAAGAAUUACACUUUUCCUCCUUUUUGAGUAGGGUUUCAGGUAAAGCAGCACUUCAAACAUACUGUUUUUAUGAAAAGUCUAUAAGGUAGGGCCCAGGCUAAACCCAUCUCUUUGGAUCUGGGUCCAUCUCUCUCCUUUCUUGACUUUCCACUUCUUACCUUCCUAAGCUUUAUUCUCUUUAAUUUUGCUGAUUUUCUUUACAAUGAGCCCAAACAGUAGGCUUAUCUAUGAUCCCCUGGCAUUUUUCCAAGAUGGAAAGAAAAGAGACAAAGGACAGAGAUUAAGAAAAGAAGAGAGAGGGAAAUCAUUUAUGAAAUACUGGGAAUGUCCUCCCCUCCCCCACCCAUCUAUCUUUUCCAUUUUCUUCCUAAUUAUGGCAAAUCAAACCCUUGGAAUCCUAAGAAGUAAUGGGAGAAUGCUAAAAGGGAAACUGAAAUUUAACAAUGGGCUCCACUGGAAAGAAUGAAGACAUUUUUUAUGAGGUUAGAAAAUCAUUUGAAUUUAAGACUCAGGUUCUCUUUCUGUGACUUUCUUCUCUCUGGUUUUUGGCCUUUUUCUUUCUUUCUCACUUCCUCUUUCUAAUAAUCUCACUUCCACUUUGCUGAACUAUUUUCUGGCUCUCUGCUCUCCUGUCAAAUCCUCUCUAAAUUCCUCAAUCUCGUGCCUCAUCUGUCCUCCCUUUCUCAGGGGAAUGGAUGUGAGGAAAGGAAAGUAAAACAGGAAAAGAAAAGGCCAAUGGAAAAAACAAAUAAGACAACUUAAAGAUAAAUGUAAACUAAUAAAUUAAAAGCAAGCACAGCUCAAGAAAUAACAAUUGAAGGAAAGGAAAACAAAGCAGCAUCUUUCAUGUGGCAGAAAUAAAGGCUACUACUAAUCAUUAA